CCUACGGGAGGCAGCAGUAAGGAAUAUUGGUCAAUGGACGAAAGUCUGAACCAGCCAUGCCGCGUGAAGGAUGAAGGCCCUCUGGGUUGUAAACUUCUUUUAUCUGGGACGAAAAAAGCUCAUUCUUGAGCACUUGACGGUACCAGAGGAAUAAGCACCGGCUAACUCCGUGCCAGCAGCCGCGGUAAUACGGAGGGUGCAAGCGUUAUCCGGAUUCACUGGGUUUAAAGGGUGCGUAGGUGGGUCUGUAAGUCAGUGGUGAAAUCUCCGAGCUUAACUCGGAAACUGCCAUUGAUACUAUAGGUCUUGAAUCAUCUGGAGGUAAGCGGAAUAUGUCAUGUAGCGGUGAAAUGCUUAGAUAUGACAUAGAACACCAAUUGCGAAGGCAGCUUACUACGGGUGUAUUGACACUGAGGCACGAAAGCGUGGGGAUCAAACAGGAUUAGAUACCCUGGUAGUCCACGCCCUAAACGAUGGAUACUCGACAUCAGCGAUACACUGUUGGUGUCUGNGNGAAGANAUAAUAUACCACCNCGGAGACGACCGACGAGUAGAAGUAAAGUAAGUUAGUACGCGUGAGAGAGACGACGACGACGACGAGGGAGGAGG
This 609-nucleotide ribosomal RNA is filed under the name uncultured bacterium. RNAcentral's name for it is "bacterial SSU rRNA". The stretch from base 1 to 533 matches the Rfam family "Bacterial small subunit ribosomal RNA", at positions 338 to 873 of the family's 1533-position model. The record is from RNAcentral.